Molecule: transfer RNA, 76 nt
Filed under: Fimbriimonas ginsengisoli Gsoil 348
Lineage: Bacteria; Bacillati; Armatimonadota; Fimbriimonadia; Fimbriimonadales; Fimbriimonadaceae
Description: tRNA-Arg (GCG) (tRNA-Arg-GCG-1-1)
Rfam family: tRNA
About the family: Transfer RNA (tRNA) molecules are approximately 80 nucleotides in length.
Source: RNAcentral
GCGCUCGUAGCUCAGUGGAUAGAGCAUCAGCUUGCGGAGCUGAGGGUCGAAGGUUCGAGUCCUUUCGAGCGCGCCA